This 460-nucleotide ribosomal RNA is filed under the name uncultured bacterium. RNAcentral describes it as "partial 16S ribosomal RNA". It matches the Rfam family "Bacterial small subunit ribosomal RNA", at positions 338 to 795 of the family's 1533-position model. The record is from RNAcentral.
CCUACGGGCGGCAGCAGUGAGGAAUAUUGGUCAAUGGACGAGAGUCUGAACCAGCCAAGUAGCGUGAAGGAUGACUGCCCUAUGGGUUGUAAACUUCUUUUAUAUGGGAAUAAAAUGUUCCACGUGUGGGAUUUUGUAUGUACCAUAUGAAUAAGGAUCGGCUAACUCCGUGCCAGCAGCCGCGGUAAUACGGAGGAUCCGAGCGUUAUCCGGAUUUAUUGGGUUUAAAGGGAGCGUAGGUGGAUUGUUAAGUCAGUUGUGAAAGUUUGCGGCUCAACCGUAAAAUUGCAGUUGAAACUGGCAGUCUUGAGUACAGUAGAGGUGUGCGGAAUUCGUGGUGUAGCGGUGAAAUGCUUAGAUAUCACGAAGAACUCCGAUUGCGAAGGCAGUUCACUGGACUGCAACUGACACUGAGGCUCGAAAGUGUGGGUAUCAAACAGGAUUAGAUACCCGUGUAGUC